AUUGAACGCUGGCGGCAGGCCUAACACAUGCAAGUCGAGCGGUAACACAGGGAGCUUGCUCCCGGGUGACGAGCGGCGGACGGGUGAGUAAUGUCUGGGAAACUGACUGAUGGAGGGGGAUAACUACUGGAAACGGUAGCUAAUACCGCAUAAUGUCGCAAGACCAAAGAGGGGGACCUUCGGGCCUCUUGCCAUCAGAUGUGCCCAGAGGGGAUUAGCUAGUAGGUGGGGGAACGGCUCACCUAGGCGACGAGCCCUAGCUGGUCUGAGAGGAAGACCAGCCACACGGGAACUGAGACACGGUCCAGACUCCUACGGGAGGCAGCAGUGGGGAAUAUUGCACAAUGGGCGCAAGCCUGAUGCAGCCAUGCCGCGUGUAUGAAGAAGGCCUUCGGGUUGUAAAGUACUUGCAGCGGGGAGGAAGGUGUUGAGGUUAAUAACCUCAGCAAUUGACGUUACCCGCAGAAGAAGCACCGGCUAACUCCGUGCCAGCCGCCGCAGUAA
This 504-nucleotide ribosomal RNA is filed under the name uncultured bacterium. RNAcentral's name for it is "partial 16S ribosomal RNA". It matches the Rfam family "Bacterial small subunit ribosomal RNA", at positions 29 to 523 of the family's 1533-position model. The record is from RNAcentral.